This 357-nucleotide transfer-messenger RNA is filed under the name Cellvibrionaceae. RNAcentral describes it as "g Teredinibacter X1 Standard tmRNA". It matches the Rfam family "transfer-messenger RNA". Rfam says of the family: Bacterial tmRNA, also known as 10Sa RNA or SsrA, is named for its dual tRNA and mRNA-like properties. Its role is to liberate the mRNA from a stalled ribosome. To accomplish this part of the tmRNA is used as a reading frame that ends in a translation stop signal. Lineage: Bacteria; Pseudomonadati; Pseudomonadota; Gammaproteobacteria; Cellvibrionales. The record is from RNAcentral.
GGGGGCGAUUAGGAUUCGACGCCGGUAUCGAAGACCAAGGUGCAUGCCGUGAUGACAGCCAAUCACGUUAAUCCAAAGCUGUAACUGAAUAGUCGCAAACGACGAUUCUUACGCUUUAGCAGCUUAAGCCUGCUAACGGUCAACGCUAAGGUGCCAGUACCGCGGUAUUGACUGUCAUAUAGAACUGGAUAGUUGUGUCGUUCGGAUCGCGGCGGCAUAGCGAAACUUAAGCGGACUCGCUCACCGCGUCCUGCCCGCCGGGCUGCGAGUGAGUUAAACCAAUAGACGGAACCUAAGCAUGUAGAGCCGCGGAGGGAGAGCUGACGGACGGGGGUUCAAAUCCCCCCGCCUCCACCA